This 948-nucleotide long non-coding RNA is filed under the name Brassica napus (rape). RNAcentral's name for it is "long non-coding RNA (BNAP_LNC020540)". Lineage: Eukaryota; Viridiplantae; Streptophyta; Magnoliopsida; Brassicales; Brassicaceae. The record is from RNAcentral.
UUGGGGUUUAUAUUUAAGAUUGAUAAUUAUAUUUUAUAAUUUAGGAUUAUAUUUAUGGUUUUGUAGUUUAUGAUUUGAUUUUAAUAAUUAUAAGUUUAAAAUAUAAGGGUUGAUGUUUAUGAUUUUUUUUUUUUGAAAAAUUAGGUUUGGGGUUUAGGAUAUAUGGUUUAAUUUAGUGGUUAAUUUAUUUUUGAAAUGGGGAAUUUAAAAUUUGAAGUGUUACAUAUAGGUUGGGAUAUAUAUUAUAUGAAUUAGAUUUUAUUUAAAAUUUAAGGUUUAAUAUUUAUGAUAUAGGGUUUAAAGUAUGUGGUUUAGGAUUUAUGUUUAAGAUUAAGUAUGUGGUUUCAGAUUAAGUUUUUUACAAGAUUAAGUUUAUAGUCUCAUGUUUUAGAUUGGAGUUUAAGUUUAAAAAUAUUAUAGUUGGAGUUUGUAUUUAGGAUAUAGGGUUUGAGGUAUGUAGUUUAGCGUUUAGAUUAAGAAUGAAAUUUAAGGAAAUAUUAUUCUGAUUAAAAGUUAGAAAAUAUCAUAUUUAGAGACUGGUUUUAGUAUUUAGGAUAUAUGUUUUAAGUUUGAAGUUUGGGGUUGAAGGUAUAUAAAAAACUAAAAUAGCCAUUAAAAUUAUGUAGCAAAAACGUGGCUACCAAAUUGUAGCUACGUAAUUAACGUGACACUUUCGUGGCUAGACGUGUAUUCACUGUUAUUUCGUAACUAAAUUGUAGCUAGUUUUAUGUCCUAGCCAGAUCAUAGCUAUCUUAGUCAUGUGUCACGUUUCAACAUGGUUUUAUGUUAUUCUGAUUUUUUGAAUUGUGGAUGAUUAGGUAAAAACAUAGUUUUUUAAAUUUAGCUACGAAUUUUUCGUGGCAAUGCCGUAGUUAUUUCAAAGAUUUUUACUGGUGUAAAUCUCCGUGUACUAGGAGAAAAUCACUUUUGUUUGGUAAAUAAAAAUUA